Non-coding RNA from Acomys russatus (golden spiny mouse), 125 nucleotides. Lineage: Eukaryota; Metazoa; Chordata; Mammalia; Rodentia; Muridae. The record is from RefSeq and is a predicted model, not a curated record.
UAUCUUUUGCCGACUGAGUUGUGGAGAUCCCUUUCCUCCUCAGCCAGGGCCAGAGGCCAAGAUCAGCCAUGCGUGUCAUGGGUCAUUGUCAUAAGGACUGCCCUGUGUUCCUGCCUCAGACAUUG